RNAcentral lists this ribosomal RNA (492 nucleotides) under uncultured bacterium. RNAcentral's name for it is "partial 16S ribosomal RNA". It matches the Rfam family "Bacterial small subunit ribosomal RNA", at positions 29 to 507 of the family's 1533-position model. The record is from RNAcentral.
AGUGAACGCUGGCGGUAGGCCUAACACAUGCAAGUCGAACGGCAGCACAGUAAGAGCUUGCUCUUACGGGUGGCGAGUGGCGGACGGGUGAGGAAUACAUCGGAAUCUACUUUUUCGUGGGGGAUAACGUAGGGAAACUUACGCUAAUACCGCAUUCGACCUACGGGUGAAAGCAGGGGAUCUUCGGACCUUGCGCGAUUGAAUGAGCCGAUGUCGGAUUAGCUAGUUGGCGGGGUAAAGGCCCACCAAGGCGACGAUCCGUAGCUGGUCUGAGAGGAUGAUCAGCCACACUGGAACUGAGACACGAUCCAGACUCCUACGGGAGGCAGCAGUGGGGAAUAUUGGACAAUGGGCGCAAGCCUGAUCCAGCCAUACCGCGUGGGUGAAGAAGGCCUUCGGGUUGUAAAGCCCUUUUGUUGGGAAAGAAAAGCAGCAGGUUAAUACCCCGCUGUUCUGACGGUACCCAAAGAAUAAGCACCGGCUAACUUCGUG